Molecule: ribosomal RNA, 508 nt
Filed under: uncultured bacterium
Lineage: Bacteria
Description: partial 16S ribosomal RNA
Rfam family: Bacterial small subunit ribosomal RNA
Source: RNAcentral
GAUGAACGCUAGCUACAGGCUUAACACAUGCAAGUCGAGGGGAAACGACAUCGAAAGCUUGCUUUUGAUGGGCGUCGACCGGCGCACGGGUGAGUAACGCGUAUCCAACCUGCCCACCACUUGGGGAUAACCUUGCGAAAGUAAGACUAAUACCCAAUGAUAUCUCUAGAAGACAUCUGAAAGAGAUUAAAGAUUUAUCGGUGAUGGAUGGGGAUGCGUCUGAUUAGCUUGUUGGCGGGGUAACGGCCCACCAAGGCUACGAUCAGUAGGGGAUCUGGAGGGAAGGUCCCCCACGUUGGAACUGAGACACGGUCCAAACUCCGACGGGAGGCAGCAGUGAGGAAUAUUGGUCAAUGGGCGAGAGCCUGAACCAGCCAAGUAGCGUGCAGGAUGACGGCCCUAUGGGUUGUAAACUGCUUUUAUAAGGGAAUAAAGUGAGCCUCGUGAGGCUUUUUGCAUGUACCUUAUGAAUAAGGACCGGCUAAUUCCGUGCCAGCCGCCGCCGUAA